AUUUGGGGGAUGUAUAGUGCAAGCUAGUUGUAUUAACUAUUAAUGCAACAUCGACUAUGUCGGAUAAAGUUCUAGAUAGAAUGAUGAUAAUGACAAUUUUCUAUUUAUAUGUCUUGGCUAAAUCUUGUGCCAGCAGCCGCGGUAAUACAAGGAAGACUAGUGUUAUUCAUCUUUAAUAGGUUUAAAGGGUACCUAUACGGUAUUUUUAGCCCAAAACAGGGUACGGAUUUACUAGAGUUUUAUGUGAGAAGGGGAGUACUUAUAGAGUAGGGAUGAAAUUCUUUAAUACUAUGGGGUAACUGGUAGAGGCGAAAGCAACCUUUUAUGUAGAAACUGACGUUGAGGGACGAAGGCUUGGGUAGCAAACAGGAUUAGAUACCCUAGUAGUCCAGGCAGAAAAUUAUGAAUGCCAUAGACUAGAUAAAUAGGCGUAAUGUGACAGUGAAGUCUUAGCUAGUAAUUAAAUCACCAGUACAAUAAUCAUAGGCGACUAUAAUAUUAGAAAUGAUGGUGAACCCUUUACUAGGGAUAUGGAUCUAGAUUACUUAUGAUUAGUAGCUAGAUUAGUUUAGUCUAUAAAUGAAAGUGUAAGCAUUUCACCUCAAGAGUAAUGUGGCAACACAGGAACUGAAAUCAUUAGACCGUUUCUGAAACCAGUAGUGAAGUAUGUUAUUUAAUUCGUUGGCCCUCGAAAAACCUUACCACAAUUUGAAUGUUAUUUAUUUAAUACAAGCGCUGCACGGCUGUUUUUAGUUAAUGUCGUGAGAUUUUGGUUAGUUCCAUUAAAUUAACGUAAACCCUUGCUUUAUUUUUUUUUUUUAUAAAGUAGUUCACCACUAUAUUGGAUAUGAUAAAAGGGAUUAAGACAAGUCAUUUUGG
This 879-nucleotide ribosomal RNA is filed under the name Candelariella reflexa. RNAcentral's name for it is "mitochondrial SSU rRNA". It matches the Rfam family "Bacterial small subunit ribosomal RNA", at positions 399 to 1198 of the family's 1533-position model. Lineage: Eukaryota; Fungi; Ascomycota; Candelariomycetes; Candelariales; Candelariaceae. The record is from RNAcentral.